AGCGGAUUGCGGAUUUAUCUAAUAUUUUGGCUAGGAUUGUGGAUUUUGCUUGCAAUUUAGUUCGGAUCCUGGAUUGUGACUUCAUAGUAGAGCUUUUAGCGGAUCCAAAUGUAGACAAGACCAUUGUUGGACGGCUGAUUUUGCUUCAGAUUUGGGCGGACUUGUAUACCCCUAUUACCCCCCCCCCCUUUAAGUCUUCGGUUGAAGAAUAAGUCCAUACUAGACUUCCGUACGUCAUCGUUGGUUUAACGAGGGCAUUAUAUAGUAAAGCUUUCUUCCCUGUAUUGGUAGAUACGAACGAAUCUUCUUUUGCACUCCGAUUUUUUGACUCAAUUAUUUUACUCUGUCUAACUCAAUGUUGUUGUCCACAG
Paramuricea clavata is the source of this 371-nucleotide non-coding RNA. NCBI's taxonomy places the organism in Eukaryota, Metazoa, Cnidaria, Anthozoa, Malacalcyonacea, Plexauridae. The record is from the annotation of a GenBank genome assembly.